This 28-nucleotide non-coding RNA is filed under the name Macaca fascicularis (crab-eating macaque). The record is from RNAcentral. Lineage: Eukaryota; Metazoa; Chordata; Mammalia; Primates; Cercopithecidae. RNAcentral also lists the same sequence under 1 other name.
UGGGCGAGUAUUGGUGGAACGCCAUCCU